Molecule: non-coding RNA, 28 nt
Filed under: Rattus norvegicus (Norway rat)
Lineage: Eukaryota; Metazoa; Chordata; Mammalia; Rodentia; Muridae
Source: RNAcentral
UCCUACAGCUUGGUGUUCUUCCUGCAGU